RNA transcript from Balaenoptera musculus (blue whale), 1868 nucleotides. It is a transcript of the gene named 8-oxoguanine DNA glycosylase, with no coding region annotated. NCBI's taxonomy places the organism in Eukaryota, Metazoa, Chordata, Mammalia, Artiodactyla, Balaenopteridae. The record is from RefSeq and is a predicted model, not a curated record. The transcript is spliced from 7 exons.
AUGUUAGCUCGCUCCCUUCUGCAGCAUAGCAUGAGACAUCGCACUCUAGCCUCCGUCCCGGCCCUGUGGGCCUCCAUCCCCUGUCCACGCUCUGAGCUGCGCCUGGACCUGGUUCUGGCUUCUGGACAGUCAUUCCGGUGGAGGGAGCAAAGCCCUGCGCACUGGAGUGGCGUGCUGGCCGACCAGGUAUGGACACUGACCCAGACUGAGGAGCAUCUUUACUGCACUGUGUACCGAGGGGAUAAGGGCCGGGUUGGCAGGCCCACACUGGAAGAGCUAAAGGCCGUGCGACAGUACUUCCAGCUGGAUGUCAGCCUUGUUCAGCUGUAUCACCAUUGGAGUUCCGUGGACCCCCACUUUCAAGAGGUGACUCAGAAAUUCCAAGGUGUGCGACUCCUGCAACAGGACCCCAUCGAGUGCCUCUUCUCCUUCAUCUGUUCCUCCAACAACAACAUUGCCCGCAUCACUGGCAUGGUGGAGCGGCUCUGCCAGACCUUCGGACCUCGGCUCCUCCAGCUUGAUGAUGUCGCCUACCAUGGAUUCCCCAGCUUGCAGGCCCUGACUGGGCCACAGGUGGAGGCUCAGCUCAGGAAGCUGGGCCUGGGGUAUCGUGCCCGCUACGUGAGUGCCAGUGCCCGAGCCAUCCUGGAAGAACGGGGUGGACUUCCCUGGCUGCAGCAGCUGCGCAAGGCCCCCUAUGAGGAGGCCCAUAAGGCCCUCUGCACCCUGCCUGGGGUAGGCACCAAGGUGGCCGACUGCAUCUGCUUGAUGGCCCUAGACAAGCCCCAGGCUGUGCCCGUGGACGUCCACGUGUGGCAGAUCGCUCAUUGUGACUACAGCUGGCACCCCACCACCGCCAAGGGUCCGAGCCCGCAGGCCAACAAGGAACUGGAGCGAUCUCCUCUACCUGGCAGGAAGCAUGGUGUGAGGCAGCCCCAGCUUUCCAACUGAACCCAGCAAAAGAGGAGCUACACCCAGUUUCAUGUAUCAGUCUCAGGGAAGGACUCCGAUGGGCUCUGCUGGAGUGACAUGCCUAUGCCUUUACCCCCAGAACUGUUGCCAGAGGAAUAAGGUGCUAUACAGGUAGCUGGGUUUAUGGCUGCCCAGAUACACCACACUUCCCAGCGUCCCUUGCAGUCAGGGGUGGUCAUCUGACGAACUCUCUCCAGUGGAAAGUGAUUAGAAGAGAUAAGAGCCACAGCUGGCCACGGCCUUCACACACUCCUCCUUGCUCUUUUUCUGUGGGCUUGGAGUGGCAAUCACACUUGGAGUGACCUUGUGCAGAGUGCAUGUUUAAGACAGCAAAGCCAGCAUACGUGGGGUCCCCGUCUGAUGGUGUGGAACGGAGAUGUCCCCCUACCCCCACCUCAGCCAACCUGGAACGUGUGCCCAGAAAGACGUGGGAGAGAAAGACGCUAUCGUGUUUGAGAUAGCCAGGAAACUGAGGCUCAAGAGGUGAAGAGAUAUGCCUAAGGGCAGCCAGCAGGCAUAAAGAAAGGGACCCUGAACCUGGGGUUUGAAUCCUGCUUCUAUGUAUUAGCUGUGUGACCUCAAGCAAACAGUUCCCUUUUUUGAGCCUCGACCUUGUUGGGUGUAACGUGGGGUUAACCACUGUCUUUGCCUCUAACGAGAGGAUGUGUAGAAAGCCCCCUUGCACGGGGCCUUUAGCCAACGCUCAGCAAAAGUAACUGUGGAGUAGUGGCUACCUUGGGGGGAGGUUAAAAACUGGGAGGGGCGUGAGAGAGUCUUCGAGAAUACUGAUGAUGUCUUCUUUUGUGGUCCUGGGCCUACCUGUACAAGUGUGCUCAUUUGUGAAAACUGAUCAAGCUGUACAUUUAUGAUCUAUGUACCCUUCUAAAUGUAUAAUG